This 84-nucleotide transfer RNA is filed under the name Eremospatha macrocarpa. RNAcentral describes it as "tRNA-Tyr". It matches the Rfam family "tRNA". Rfam says of the family: Transfer RNA (tRNA) molecules are approximately 80 nucleotides in length. The record is from RNAcentral. Lineage: Eukaryota; Viridiplantae; Streptophyta; Magnoliopsida; Arecales; Arecaceae.
GGGUCGAUGCCCGAGCGGUUAAUGGGGACGGACUGUAAAUUCGUUGACGAUAUGUCUACGCUGGUUCAAAUCCAGCUCGGCCUA